Topomyia yanbarensis is the source of this 1028-nucleotide long non-coding RNA. RefSeq lists it as uncharacterized. The transcript is spliced from 3 exons. Lineage: Eukaryota; Metazoa; Arthropoda; Insecta; Diptera; Culicidae. The record is from RefSeq and is a predicted model, not a curated record.
AUGUACGCUGCCAAUAAAGAUUGAACUCGAGUCUGGUUUUCCUUUUGUUUUACUCCUGUCUUAGCCAGAUAAACUUGCUCUUAUAUGAUUGCUGAGCAAAGCGGUGCGUAUUCCGGUUACAAUCGUAUUCACUGUCAAAAUGCCCUCAUUACCCUAGCAUAGUUACAAUAACUCGCUUCAUUAGAUUUAUAACCGUAUUGCAAAGCAAGAAAUGCUGUGAACGUGAAACGUGAACCGCCUCCUGAAUGUUUUUUUCCCGUGCACUAUUAUGUGCAGUGUAAGUGGUUUAGACUUUACUAACGCGCCUCUUGCACCUUUUUCUGUUCCGAUUUCGGCAUUUGAUGUCAAUCGUUUGUGACGAGAGGUAAUAAUGAGGUAAGUAGUGCGUUUUUAUUUCUGAUUGAUUUUCGGUUCCAAAAACUUUUUCCUUUUUGUUCUUUCAGUUCAUUCGUUGUAUAUUCACCCAAUGCCCGUGGCCUCCACAGGGCCCGCACUUGGUGUCUGGACACCCGGUUUUCGCCAUUUUUAGGUUAAGGGUCGGAAAUAUAAAUUUGAACCGGAUUCACUAUUGCGUAUUGUAUUGUUUCUAGGCUCUCCGAAAACCACCCUCCGAGACGUUUCUUUAUUUUUUUUCAGCUAUGGUGUCAUGUAUGGGUAUUUUCUUCUUGCUCUGGUGCCUUCCCCCUCUCGACGGAUACUGUAAUAAUUUAUAGGAUAAUCUGGUGAGUGCAACCUUAGAAAUAAUUUUUUUUGAUUAGAUUAGAGCUUUUUUUAAGGAGUGUUAAAUCUGAGCUUAGGCUCGUUCGCCACUUGAAAAGCUGCUAGUUACUUUGUGUUAAUACUUAUCAUCGGUGUUUUAGUUUCCUUUCACUCUUGCUCGCUUGCGCGAGAUAUAGGGUGGUGGAUAUAUUUCCACCGUUGUCUACGUAUUUUUCGAUCGCGUUUAGUUUCCUCUACCAUAGUGUUUAAUAUUUGAGUUUCGUAAAAUGGAAUAUCUUUGAUCAUGGUCAAUGGUCUCUCAUUUUACG